CCAAAGUGCUGGGAUUACAGGCAUGAGCCACCAUGCCUGGCCUAAAUGAUGUGUUUUUAAAUGUGUGGAAUAACUGUGUGCAAGGUCAUAGAGGAGAUGCUGAAGAGAGAAAAAUAAAGGAUGUCCUUCAAGGCCUCAUGUAACUACAGGGGUCCAAAUAGGCCUUUCCACAGAAGAAAACCUGUCUGCCUCCAUCACCAAACAACCUAUUCAUCAAAAGGAAAAUAUCAUACCAUUACUUGUGACAAGCAAUUCUGAUCAGUUUUUGACAACUCCAGAUGGUGACGAGAAGGACAUAACGCAGGACAAUUCUGAAUUAAAACACAGAUCC
RNAcentral lists this long non-coding RNA (331 nucleotides) under Homo sapiens (human). Its description in RNAcentral is "HSALNT0069608". Lineage: Eukaryota; Metazoa; Chordata; Mammalia; Primates; Hominidae. The record is from RNAcentral.